This 695-nucleotide long non-coding RNA is filed under the name Brassica napus (rape). RNAcentral describes it as "long non-coding RNA (BNAP_LNC014128)". The record is from RNAcentral. Lineage: Eukaryota; Viridiplantae; Streptophyta; Magnoliopsida; Brassicales; Brassicaceae.
AGUUUUUUUAUUACAUGGAUUUUGAAAAUCUCAUGGAUACAUAUAAUAUUUUGAAAGUUGAGUCUUAUGAGUAAAAAUGAAUAGAAUUCAUCUCCCAAUAACGCUAAAUUUAGUUAGAAUCAAAGAAUCAAUAAUAACUAAACUUUUUGAAUAACAAGGGGUUUGAAUGGACUUUGAAAAUUCUUAAACUAAUAACAAUGGAUUUUAAAAGACUUUUGAAAUCUAAAAACUAAUAACAACGAGAUCUCAAAAUUUUCAAAAUUCAUUAGAUUCACUUACCAAUAACCCCCCUAAACAGAAACUUCAGUUUUCUUUAAGAAGGUAAUUUAUUUCUAUAAUUUAUCUAAAAAUGAACCCACAUGAAGAAGGCAAGAAAUUUUUCAUUUUUGGCGUAUGAUAUGACGUGGCAUUAUGGAGCUUGUCUAUUCGUUAAUUUUUAAGACCACAUGGCCAGGUUGAGAGUUGAUUAUAUUGGCCUUUUAUCAUAAGGUUAGUUUUUAAUUCACAUCUUUAUCACCUUAAAUAGAUGUCAAUUUAUUUUUUUCUUUUAAAUAUUUAACUAUUUUUCUCGGGAUUAUAAUGUGCCCGUAGGUACUAGUUUGUGGGAGCAACGACAGACUACGAGUGUUUUGAAAACUGGACCGGACCGAUCCGACCAUAAAUCAUUGAAGAAGCCGAGUCUGAUCCAGUUUAAA